CGUAGUGCCUUAUAUUGAAUACAAUCCAAUUUUUUAAAAGCUGCUGCGUUUGCUGGAUUUAAUAAAACCGAGCCGUAGUCUAUAAUGCUUCUAAUUAAGGCAUUAUAUAGGAGUUUCAUAAUAGAAGGAUGGGCGCCCCACCAUACACCACUAAGACACCUUAAAAUAUUUAGGUUGCGUUCACAUCUCACUACAACGGAUUCACAAUGUGAUACACCUGUGAGUUUUGAGUCCAAUACAAGUCCCAAAAACUUUGCCUGAUCCUUAACUGAUAAGGGGGAAUCAUCAUAUAAAACAUUAACUACUAAUGGAAUCCUUUUUCUAGAGUAUACAACUACAGUGCUUUUAGAUGGGGAUAGAUCUAGACCAUUAUUAUCUAGCCAUUUUUUAAGAAAUUGUAAUGCUGCAGAAAGGGAAUCGCUAAUCUCGUUAAUUAAUCGGCCGGCAACAUAGAAAAGCAAAUCGUCCGCAUAUUGCAGAACUUUUACACAUUUAUUUAUGGAUACUUCUAAAUCAAUAGUAUAAAUGUUGUAAAGAAUUGGACUCAUUACGGAACCCUGAGUAUCAGGAUAUUAACAUUAUCAUAAGCUGCGGUUAUAUCUAGAAAACCAGCUAUUACAGAGUCAUUUCUAGAAAACGCUAAUCUAAUAUCUGUGACAAAAAUCCCCAAACUGUCAAAAGUGCUCUUACCUUUCCUAAAUCCUAGCUGACUAUCUGAGAAUAAUCCAUUGUGUUCCAAAAACCAUUCGAGGCGAUUUUUUAUUAAAUGUUCCGAUAUUUUCGCCAAUACAGUAGAUAGAGCUAUGGGACGAUAUGAUGAAGGUUCGGAACUUGGUUUAUCUGGCUUUAAUAACAAGAUUAAAGUUUGUGUUCUCCAAGAACUGGGAAUAUUACCUGAUGUCAUAGCUGUGUUGAUUAAAGAGAGAUAAUAAUUAAGAGCAUCUUCGUCUAAAUGUACUAUAAAAGAGUAUGGAAUGCCGUCUUCACCAGGCGCCGAGUCUUUAAUAACAGAAAGUACACCUUUUAAUUCAUUGACAGUGAAGGAUGAAUUGAGAUCAAAUGUAGAAUCAUUAUUAUUAACUAUUUCUGUAUUAAUAGUUAAAGGAUUUACAUGGAGCUGUUCUGGAACGAAAGUUGUACCAGUUGGCAUUACUUAAUUUAUACCUCAUACGGGGCUGUUUCAUCUGCUGCAAGGGUUUUGAAAAAGGAAAAGUAAUUAAUAAUGGAUAAUGAUCACUAUUAUAACUAUAGUU
Molecule: long non-coding RNA, 1253 nt
Organism: Achroia grisella
Lineage: Eukaryota; Metazoa; Arthropoda; Insecta; Lepidoptera; Pyralidae
Exons: 3
Source: RefSeq, a predicted model, not a curated record